UAUUACAUUGCACUGGAAACAUGGGAUGAGCAGUACUGGGUCCAGAAUGUCACAUGAAGACACCCACAUUCCUGGAGCAGUGUGAGGACUUUGUCCUGGCCCUUACAAGCAAAGCAGGCAGAUUCUUUAGAGCUUGAUUCACAUAAGAUAAUAGUCCUACUGUAUAUGUAUAACUCAGAAAUGUGGAAACAAUGAUACAAGGUUAUGAAGAGGACAACAUUUUGGUCCAGAAUGUACAUAAAUACAACCAGAGAGGACUUCAUCCUGGAUUACAGCUAUUCAGAGUUUGGGCAGUGAAAAGUUUUUCCAUGAACAUUAAUUUUAAUUCCUAAUAUCUAUUAAGCUCAGUUGUGUUCAUCUCCCAUUUUAUUCAUCAGGAGAGAAUAUUCAUGUUUACAUAAAUGUUAGGGGAAUGUCUGCUCUUCAUAUUAUAGUCCAUAUUUGCAUGCAAAUGGACAUAUUCACACACGAGCAAAAGCACACCACAGUUUAUUUUCCUUAAAAAAAGUCCAGUCAUCUGAUCAGAUAGCAGAAACAAUACCAUGUGACUUACAUGACGACUCACAUGCCAUGACUAAUAAAUUCUAAUAGGCUGAAAACUACCCAUCUAUACCAUUUAGCGAAUACUUACUUGCAAAGGAAGAGCACAGUGGCAGGAAUAAAGACCAGAUCAUGAAUGUUUUGCAAAUGGAAAAAAACAAAGCAGCCCCAUUAAUAAAUGACAGCAAUAAAACCCAAUAUUUUGUUUUAAUGAACUGUUGUAUUUUUCUUUUCUUGGUCUUCUGCUGUUUCAUCACACACCUUUUUCUGGAGCAGAGGUGUAAAUAAAAGCUGUGUAAAUAAAAAUACACAUUAGGGUUGUCUGAUAAAAUCACAUUCGUGAGCAGAAACCUCAAAUCCUUCAUUAGCAGGGUCAUAAACUACAAAUGCCAUUUGAUUAGGAUAUGAUUAAAGGAAUUUAUUAACAGAUGUGCAUUCAGCGACACUGUUUCAUUGGCAGCUUUAUGAGAUUCUUUCCGGGGAUGACAGGUGUGGCCUUCCAGUUCCUUUGUAUAGAAAAUGCUGAAUAGAGUUUAUGCAGUGUGUAAUGGUUUAAUUCAAGUCCCCAUCAAUUGCUAGAAAAGAAAGAAGCUUUUACAUAUUAAUUGAAGCCAAAUAUUAGAAAUUAGACAGAGCAGAAGAAAGUAUCAUUGAUCAGAGGAGAGAUAGAUAUAAUAGGACACAGUCACAUCAAACACGUAUUUUGUCAGGAUAUGUCAGAAUUUUUGUAAAAUUUGGCAAAUGGAAACCUUUUGAAGUUGUUUGUUUGUCGUUUCCCUUUCAUGGGACAGUCAACUCUAGUCAUUUAGGCCUCAACUGGCAAAAGAAAGAAGAUCCUUUUGGUUUAUUGAUCUGAUACAAAAUUCUGAUUACAAAUUGAAAACACAGAGUGAAUAAACGAAGGAAAAUUGGGAACUUGUGUAGUUAGGUAUUUUUAACUGCUGUGUCUGGCUGUUCUGUAUUUAACAGAGACUGCAAAAUUCUAGACAUCUCUAUUCUGGGCCUCGUUAUCAUUGAUUAAAAUUUGCCAUACAGUCUAGUUUACAGAGCAAUUAAAAUGUUCUUUUCUGCCUCCAGUCUCAUUUUCCAUAUGUUCUGUGUUCUACAUAUAUAUUCUGCACUAAUAAUAUUUUCUGUAACAAGUUUCUGAUAGCUGCAUUGAAACUUCUUCCAUUUAAAAUAUGUGCCAGUUAAGAUGAAGGUAUCCAAGAACUUUUGUUCUGCUGCAAACUGAGAUUCUUCAAAUGCUUGUGAGAAGAAAUGAAAGCUGAUUGGUGUAGAUGCGUAAGUAAGAAGUUAUAUUUAGGAUACACCCAGACUCCAUGUCAAAUUUCUCCUCCACUGCGAGAUUGACCUGAAAGGCCUCAGACAUCUUCUACUAUUCAGUAGUGGGACAAGAGUGGUGACAGAAUGAGACACUGGUGUUGGAAGAAAGGACAAGAAUAUCAAUGUAUUGUACAGUGUAUAGCAGAGAGAUAAAAUCAGGUAAGUAGACAGGACCUAAAUUAUGAAGGUCUUGAAGGUAAGAGCCAGAAAUCUGUGUGUGAUGCAGUGCAGAAGGAGCAGAGAGUGGAGGGAUUCAAAGUAUGCAUGGGGAGGAGGGAGGAGUGACAUGUUAGAUAUGAUGAAGAUGAUUUUGACAGUACCAUUCUGAAUGGACUUGAGAAGGACAAGUUCUCAGUAGUCUAGACCAGAGAGAAAAAGGUUGCAGUAGUCAGGACAGCCCAUAUUAAGGCAUGGUAUGAAGUAGCACUGCCCUGGCCGGGAGCAGUGGAAGGCUAUCUGUAGCACAUGUAUUUGAAGCUUCCAGGUACAAGAAGAUUUAUGCCACACCUCUUUGUGGGGUGCAAUUUAUUGAACUGUGUACAGCUAGGUGUUUCAGCUGGUCAGAGCAUUGAGCGGAAAGCCAUGCCCUUUCUUCUUCCCAAACAGUCCCACCCAUUUGAGGAUUCCUUGGGGAACAGGGAUAGAGCAGUCCAUGCACUUUAGCCGGGAUCAGAGGGAAGACCCUACACUCAGCUGGGCAUAUAAGCAGCUAGCCACAAUCAAUGGAGAGGCAACCAACCCCAACAAGCAAACUGGCCCCGGUUUGAGCUAACCAAUGACUGUCUUCAUCACAUUGACCGGGACCCCCAAACCCAAGAAACCCCGCUGGUGCCCUGGUGUCAUUGCUGUGCUGUUUUGAAACUAAUCAGCAAUGUCCUCGCUGCAGGGCACCUGGGAUGCAAGAAUAGUCUGGCCUGAGUCCUGACACAGUUUUUUCUGGUCCGGGGUGCAUCAGGACAUCAAGAAUUAUUGUAACUCGUGCCUGGAAUGGCUGCUAGCAGCCCCAUGGGAGGUACCAAAGGCUCCUCAGUCCUCUUGCCACUACAAUACAUAUGUCUAAGUUUACAUCAACUGGAAUAAAGUUUUAUGUCCCUGAAAACAGGUUUACCAAGGAAUUGCGAGUACAGAUUCAGCUGCAAGUUAAUACAUAAAUGGCAAC
Molecule: long non-coding RNA, 3025 nt
Organism: Gopherus flavomarginatus (Mexican gopher tortoise)
Lineage: Eukaryota; Metazoa; Chordata; Testudines; Testudinidae
Exons: 4
Source: RefSeq, a predicted model, not a curated record